UCACCAAGGGCACCACCAACAACAUCUGCGUACUGCGCACGGUCAGCGUGGGCCUGACGCUGCUGCGCGUGUGGGACCCCGAGCACCCCGGCCUCUCCGACUACGUGCCGCUGCCCGUCCUGCCGGCCAUCGCUCCAGAGCUGCCCGGCACCGUGGUGGUCGGGGAUGUCCUCUGCCUGGCCACUGCGCUCAUGGGCCCCAAGGGUGAGAGUUCCAACCAGGGCGGUCUCGGGGUCACCGUGCCUGCCAGGGUGGGAGGGGGACCCUGGGGUGCCCUGAAGGGGUCAGGAAGGCCACCAGAGGGCCACAUAGGCCAUGUUGGCUUUGGAGAUGUACCUGCCUGGUAGCAGGGCCACUCCCUAGUGGGCGCCUGGGGAGGGUGGCCCUGGGGACAGUUCCCCUGGUGACGGCACCCCUGGGGACGGUCUGCUGGGCAGCCACAGUCCAUAGAGCAGGUGUGCCAGAAGGGGCCACCAGGACGUGGCCACGGAGGCGGGCAGGGAGGCUGAACCACAAGGCCCCUCGUGGGCAGGGGUCAGGAAGAGGUCAUGGGCGGCCGGUCCUCUGUGGGGGGGGGGACGGGUGACAUGGGGCCUCUCCUCCCAGGUGCCCCAGGAACCUGGAGCUCUUCAGCCGACAGCAUCCUCCAGGUCGACCCCAAGACGGUGAUGGCCGUGGCCCGGGACGCGGGGUCCGUGACGGUGCACUACGAGGUCCCCGGGCACCUGAGGACCUAAAAGGAGGUAGGGCAGUGGGCGCCGGGCCUGGCCCACCCUCCGCGGGCAGCGGCGCCCUGGCCUAUGGCUGGGAACGCCUGUCCUUUAAACCAGUACCGUGUGUCCAGGGGUCGGCCAGGACCUGGGUCCCCAAACCUGCAGGUGCUCAGUCAGGUCCCUCACGUGCUACGGCACAGUGUGACCUGUGGCCUGUGCAGCCCUGUGUCCACUCUGAGUCGUCCCCGGGUGGCUGGUGACAGCAGGGAAGCACUGUGUGCCCUGUGACCAUGCUGUGCUGUUCAGGGGGGACAAGACCCCCGGGCCUCCUCCCCAGAGGCCGCUCCUCUCAGGGGAAUCUUAGAAAGACACGCAGGCCACCGAGGCCGCCUGAGUCACCGAGGCCACCUGAGCUGCCUGAGGCCACUGAGGCCACCUGAGGCCACCAAGGGAAGCUCAAUGAUGUGACGUCACCAACAGAGUGAAGCCACAAGGUCACCUUCAGAGCCUUCUAGAGGCAGCAACCCUUUGGCUCCGUGUUUCUGUCCGGCUGAGGACAGGUCAGCGUGGACCCCGGUGGCACAUUAGUGCCAUGCCUGGGUGGCCAAGGACUGGGCGUGUCCUGCCUCCUGGAAGGGCCCAGCAGGCAGGUCCCGGGGCGCAGGGCCCUGGGUGGCUGCUGGAAGGAGGGCUGCACGUCCUGGGCCUGGCCGGUCUCUGGUCAGAUCCUGGAGGCGUGAGGUCUGGGCAGCUGGUCCCGCGGCUGAGCGCAGGUGGCCUCAGGGAGCAGGGCUGGGGUGACCCUGUCCACGUGGCUGACCAGGCGCCCACGGCCCUUCCUGAGGGGAGCCGGGGCAGGGGGUGGGCACCACAGUGGGGGUCACAGGGGGUCCAGGUGGGGUCGCACCUCCACGUGGGGCUGCCAGGAAACCUGGGGCCUCCUGUGUCCCCGAGGGUGGGCGGGACACGGGCUGGGCGCAGGGCUGGGGACGAGGCCCAGCCACAGGCAUCAAGUGGGACACGGACUGGGGCGGAGCCAGGGCCAGGAGUGCUGUCCGGGGCUGUGGUGGUCAGCCCUGUCCAGCUGGCCCCUGGGGACCUGGAAGGAGGCAGUGCCUGGGCUCUGGGGUCAGUGUGGCCUCUGCCUGUGGCCUUCAGUGGGGGUUGAUGACUCCGAGUAAAGGACAGGAGACUAAAGUGGGUCCUCUUUGCUGCGAGGUCAGGUCAGGAGCUCCUGACUGGUGUGUCAUCUGGGUGUCACAGGUGCCAUGAGGUCGAGAGGGGCGCAGGCCGGGUCAUGAGGUCCAGCGGACUGAGUGUACGCUGUGCUGGCCGGGUGGACAGGCCUUGGUCCUGUUGUCACCUGGGGCCAGGUGUCCUCAGGCCGCAGGCUCAGGAGGGGUCACGGGGGGCCCAGCAUGGAUGGCCAGCGGGCGGCUCUUCACCAGCUGCCUCGCCCUCCACAGAUCGUGGUCAGUGUCCCCCAGAGGAUCGUGGCCCGGCGUGUCCACACAGCCCAGGCCAGCUUCCAGGAGGCCACAGCCUCCAGAGUGACCAUCACCGUGGGAGACAGAAGCUCUAACCUGAGAGGUCCAUGCCGUGGGGAGGUGGAUCCCAGUGUCCCUGAACCCAGAGGCCACCCAGAGCCUAGGACCCCACGGCUGGGCAGGUGCUCUGCCUCCAAGCUGCGCCUGGCCAGCUGUUCCCACCCAGGGGACACUCUGCUCCUGGCCGACACCUUCGCCUCCCUGGGGCCCACCUGUCCCUUGCCUUGGGUGGCCGGGUGUGGUGGCCGCUGGCCAGGCCUCCUGACUCCGCCCGUCUGCAGGCGAGUGCUCCGCUGCCCAGGGGGCGGCCAUCCCGGCUCUGGGGCCCGAGGCCCUCCUCAGCUGCCAUCUUCGGUUCCAGCAAGACGUCUUCGACCUCCCAGUGACAGACGUGUUCUCGGCCGAGCCGGACUUCGACGUCACACUGGGUGAGCCAGGGCUGAGGGGCUCUGCCCACCGCCUUGGGCUGCCCAGUGGUCAUGGCCUGGCUCACCACUGUCCAGCCUGGCCCAGGGCCCUCCUGGGAGUCCGUCCUGUGUGGUGCCACCAGGGCCAGGCCUCUGUCGCUUCUGGGCCCACAGGAGGCUGGCCUUCAGCCACCGCCGCACCCGCAGGACGGUGCAGGGUCAGGAGAGUCAGGGACAGGGUGGGGUGUCAGCGCAGGUAGGGGACAGGGACAAGCAGGACACCCCUGUCUCCGCAGGCCAGUACCUCUGCUCGGUCACCAUGCACAGGCUGACCGACGGGCAGCUGAGGCACUUGAGCUCGAGGAGGACACCCCUGGUGGUCACAGCCUCGGUGGCCGGGGGCCAGACGUCUGUGGAGCAGGUGGGGGCCGAGGUGCCCUUCAGCCCUGGGCUCUACGCUGACCAGACUGAGAUCCUCCUGAGCAACCACCUGUCCAGCCGCGAGGUCAAGGUCUUUGGGGCCGCGGAGAUCCUGGACAGCUUGGAGGUGAGCGGAGGGGUCGGGGCGGACGCAGGGACCACAGUCGGACUUCACGUUGACUACCCGGGUGGUGACCGUCCCCAGCCCUUUUUAUAUUUUAUUUACAGACAGGG
RNAcentral lists this long non-coding RNA (3321 nucleotides) under Marmota monax (woodchuck). Lineage: Eukaryota; Metazoa; Chordata; Mammalia; Rodentia; Sciuridae. The record is from RNAcentral.